GCAGAGUAGGUAAGAGUGCGUUAAGUGCUUGCCGGCGGGAUGUAAGUCGGCUGGACGAAGAACACGGUCCUUUGUUUGCGGUACUCUUAACCGAAUCCCACUGC
RNAcentral lists this non-coding RNA (104 nucleotides) under uncultured Eubacterium sp. RNAcentral describes it as "THF riboswitch". It matches the Rfam family "THF (Tetrahydrofolate) riboswitch aptamer". From Rfam's summary of the family: THF riboswitch presents a pseudoknot that joins P1-P2 and the loop of P3 and two THF binding. The record is from RNAcentral. Lineage: Bacteria; Bacillati; Bacillota; Clostridia; Eubacteriales; Eubacteriaceae.